This 73-nucleotide transfer RNA is filed under the name Cordylochernes scorpioides. Its description in RNAcentral is "tRNA-Thr". The record is from RNAcentral. Lineage: Eukaryota; Metazoa; Arthropoda; Arachnida; Pseudoscorpiones; Chernetidae.
GUCCAGGGAUGGGAUUCGAACCCAAAGUGUUCAGCUUACCGGGCAGAUGCCAUGUCCACUAGGCUACCCUGGA